RNAcentral lists this transfer RNA (76 nucleotides) under Chloroflexota bacterium. RNAcentral's name for it is "Chloroflexi bacterium tRNA-Thr". It matches the Rfam family "tRNA". From Rfam's summary of the family: Transfer RNA (tRNA) molecules are approximately 80 nucleotides in length. The record is from RNAcentral. RNAcentral also lists the same sequence under 1 other name. Lineage: Bacteria; Bacillati; Chloroflexota.
GCCGACGUAGCUCAGCUGGCAGAGCGGCUGUUUUGUAAACAGCGGGUCGCCGGUUCGAAUCCGGCCGUCGGCUCCA